GUGCAAGCACCUAACCCUGCAUUCUGCACAGGAGGCCUGCGUGUCCUGCCGGGCGUUUGCAAGGUUUCUGCAGAAAGAGGAGUGUGUAUAGAAAGAUGACACUUGGAGAAGCUCCUUCAUCUAAUCUUACAAUAAGUCUUUGACCAAUGGAAAAGAUUGUGUUAUUUCUUCCCCUUAAGUAAUGAGUGAGUCUGAGCAGCCGCCUCACAACAGAUGUCUAAAACUCUAAAAACUUUCUGUAGGAUCUCUGGGAGGAAGGUGGUUAACAGAUUGCCAUAUCCAAACAGGCUGGAGAAAAUACAGAAGGAAGCAGUCAAUCCAUGACCAUCCAGAAGAAUUAUUCCUGAAUCAAGAGACUACAAAGGAUUACAUAUUCUGACAUAAAAUAUGGCUCCAAAUGAAUUCAUAACAUCUGAGCAUCAGUACAGUUAUGCUCCAAAGACCCGUAUCCGCAGCUUAGUGGAGUCCCUGCUUUUCCUGACUGAGCAGAGGCCACAUUUCUAUAGCUUCCAGGAUUUUCCACACAUCCACAGGAGAGACAAUUCUGCAUGGUAAUAUUGCUGUGUCUUGAGUCCAAGUGGAAAUUCAUCAAAAACUCCAGAGAUCGCCAGAAAACCAGAGUGAAGGAAUUAUUUCUAAAAUAACCAUGUUUUGUUUCCUGACUUGUUGAAUUAUGUUAAUAUCUUGGUGUAGUAUGUCAGAUGCAAAGAGUUAUUAAGUUGGAUAUUAAGUCUCAUUCAUAGUCUUUUAGAUGGAAGCUACCACCAUAAUACCAUAGUCUAAAACAGCAAAAAAAAAAUUCUCUUGUAAUAUUUUAUUCAUUAUUGGCAGAAUAAAAUUUACUAGCAGGAUAUAAAGUGCCAAAUGACACUUGUUUUUCUUCAAAUCUUGCAAAAUUAAGUUGAUAAAGAACAAAUUGAAUAAAUGGUUUAUGCUUCCAGGGUAGAAAAACUCCAGUGAUAUUACCAUAAGCCUAGAAAGCACAUUAGGAAACCAUCAUUGUUACAUCAUCAUCGGGCUUUCUUUUUCAGUCUUUUAAAGUACUGAAAAGGUCUAAACCUACUUGGUUGAUAAAAUCUGAUAGGUUCGUAUGUUUUCUAGAAACAACAGAUGAAACAGUUUCUGUAGACAGGAAAGUAUAAUAAUAUCUGAAACACGUAUGAAGUGGUUAAUCUAAAGGUGGUUCUAAAACUAAUCUAAAAGUGUCUCCAACUAUUUCAGCUUCUUCAGGAAUGUAGAUUCAACAGAGUGACUUAAUAACCCAAAACUAUUUAUCAAUGGAAAAUAACAAGAACUCCAUAUUGCAGGUCCCUUACUGUGCAGGUCACUGUACGGCACCAGCACAUAAGAAGUACAGUGGUUUACAUCCAGUGAUGACCCACAUCAUCGAAUGAAACUGUAAUGUUAGCAACCGAAAUGUAACAAUAAAGCUGAAGAUCAAGAAAACUUAAAACUAUUCAUUUAAAUAUAAACCUUGCCUUGGAAAUUAACAAGAUGGUGUGCAUUUUUUUUUUAGAAGCAGCAGCUUAUAUGAUCUGUGAUGAGCAAUAAAUAGGUGGCUUGGAUGACAGCUGAGGCAUAGUUAAUACUAUCUCAGUUAACGACACCUGUGAUCUGAAAGAAAAGCACACUUUGAGCAUGAGUGCCAUGAAGGUAUCCUCACAGCUGCAAGGCAGCUUUGUCUUGUUCACAUAUUUCCUUUCUGUACUGCACAACCCUUUUCUUAUUUACAUUUGAGAUCUAAUUCUGAUGGUUUGGGUUAAAAAAUAACAGACUAAUGCUGAACUAAAUAUAAAGGUUUUGGAAAAAAACCUAUUGUUAUACAGGAUUUCCCUUCCCAGAUCAGCAAAAUCCCAUAUCAGGGGUUUUCACUAGUCCAGGAACAACAUUUUCUUUUGUCAAGACCUGUGCUGCUGCUUUACAAGGCCCUGAGCUAAAAAAAAAAAAUCCAUAUAGACACUGCUUGAUUAUAGCUUUCAUAACGUCAACCCCAAUAAAACGAGAUAUAUUUUAUUUUCUUUAAGGGAUGUGCACCAGUCUCUAAGGUUUACUGUUCAGCACUAUCCUGUUCUAAGGUAAUCCUCAAAUGUAAGAUACCACCAGAAUGAGGCACUAAAUCAGUGGUGCCUUUUCCAGGAGCCCUGGGAACCAACAACAGUUGAGCACAAAAGAAAAAAAAAAAGUAAAAUUGGGUGACACAACCUGCUAAACAAUCAACAGAUACCUUAUUUUAAUGUCCACAGACAAGUCCUUCAGCUGCUUUUUUUUUUUUUUUUGUGAAAUCUGAUUCAUCAUAAAAUAUUGUUAUAAAACUGAGAACAUAAUAUUGUUGACUACUGGUCUGAUAUUAUUUUUGUUCUACAGCAUACAUAGAAAGAUAAUGGAGAUAAUGGUAGGAUUUGAUCAUACUUUCCUCAGAUUAGACACUUAACUAAUAAGGAGUACAGGUAUUGGGGUUUUAUUUUUUUCCUUUUUUUUCUUUUUUUAAUGGCUGGAAGGACACUUCUAAAGAGUGCUUCAGAUUUUCAGGAAGAUGGAUCACCCUUGAAAGUUUCUCUCUUUUACCGCUGAUUGAACAGCUUACAAAUUCUCCAUUCUUGGAGAUACUCAGAACUUGUCUGGAGGAGGCUCUCACCAACACAGUCUAGUUUUAAACUGAGAUCCGACUUUGGAAGAGAACUUAGUCUGGUUUUGGAGAGGGUUUGAUCAUAUGACUUCCAGAAGCCCCUUCCAGUUUAAAUUGUGAUUCUAUUUUCCUUUCUUUGGCACUUCUCUAAGUAUCUAAGGACAGGCAGGCUGAACCUAAGACUGAGAGUGGAACACGUAGUCCAGAAACCUAAACCUACAGGAAAAUGAAGAAUGUAAUUUUUUCCUUAGUAGGCAAUACUUUAUUACUGUCACAUAGCUGUAGUUAGGGAGGAAAAGUCUUUCCAUCAUACAAUAAAGUGCUCUUAGCAUCACAAUAGGAUAUGUGGUCAGAAAGAUCCUAUACUACCUUUCCUUUGCAAAGGUAAUGAGAAUUCUUUUUCAGAGAACGCUAUUUUCUGUAUAAAUUAUUAACCAGCAGAAUAGGCUGUAUACAGAUUUCUUAAAAGGAAUAUUUAAUUAACAUGACAAAUUACAUCUUUAGCCAUGAAAUGCUUAGUU
Non-coding RNA from Phalacrocorax carbo (great cormorant), 3147 nucleotides. The record is from RefSeq and is a predicted model, not a curated record. NCBI's taxonomy places the organism in Eukaryota, Metazoa, Chordata, Aves, Suliformes, Phalacrocoracidae.